Long non-coding RNA from Daphnia magna, 504 nucleotides. RefSeq lists it as uncharacterized. Lineage: Eukaryota; Metazoa; Arthropoda; Branchiopoda; Diplostraca; Daphniidae. The record is from RefSeq and is a predicted model, not a curated record. The transcript is spliced from 2 exons.
CCACCGAGGUUAUUAACUAUCAGAGCUACUGAACAACCAGAUGGAAGAGCAAAGAAUGAAGAAGAAUCGCUGUCUGUCAUCCGAUCCAGCAUCUCCUCGAUGAUUUUGGAGGCGGUUGUCAUCUAAAUUUAUCACAUAGGGCCCAACUCGACUUCGUCUUCUUCUAAACGGAACAUAACUUCACCACCUUAAUUUAAAAGACAUGUUCAUUAGAAGCCUCAGGAUUUACUGUUUGUCAUCUAUACCUGGGACACUGCAUGACGUCAAACUGGCACCGAUUGUACCGAUGGAUUGUUUCAUUUCUUCGAUCACGUGGGCAAUUGAAUCGAGUGGGUCACCUCUUUCCGCCAAAGCUCCAGCGGUUUUCAUGAGAAACAGAGAUCCUGCUAAUCCUCGACGACCAACCGCUUUGAAUGGACUAGAAAGAGCGCAAUCGUCGUCACAAAUGAUCAUUUUCACCUACGUUUGAUAGUAUUAAAUAAUACAAGAGCUUUUAUAGAGGAA